AUUCAGUUUCGGAGAGAGUAUAUCGGCGUUCAUGCAAACCAAACAUAGCAAAUGUCAUCACAGUCUCAGUUCAAUAUACAUAGAUUCACAUACAUCACGCAUUGCCUAUAUUGCUUGUUUUGUGUAUUCUCAAUGCGAACACCAAGCUAUAGCAAUCGAUUUAUUACUUUUUUUGACGACUUUUUUCCGAUUCGCUAGAAUUUUGUUUGUGUUUUAUAGUGUUUAUUUUUAUUUUACAAAUAUUGGUAUUGCGUUACAAUACGUUGUUGCAUUUUAUUGACUUGUAGAUUCGCGUUUAGGUUUUGUAUUUAUUGAUCGCGGUGUACAAAAGCUAAAGUGUGUCUAUAGCCGACAAUCUCAAUACGGCUGGUUAUAUUUAUAACAAAACUUCCAUGAGCUUGCCGCAUUUUCACUUGAUAUUAUGCUAAAAAUCACGUUAGCAGCAGAAUGUUUUACUAUAAGUUGACGACGAUUUUGUUGAUCGUUCUAUUGGUGUUGUGCCGUAACUGUCGAUCUUUCCGCUCCGAUUACAAUAAUGGAUCGGUUCGUGUUAAUAAGUGUUGUGAACCAAAUGAGAUUCUCGUAGAUUUAAGGUGUGCGAAUGCGAAUGAAUCGAAUCAAGAAGUGUGGUCUCCGAUAUUUACCGGGUUUGAUGGAAAGGCAAAUGCUCAAGUGCCUGGAUUUUGGUUUGCUGUCGGUAUACCACAAUGCAGCCAAAAACAAAUGUGGCCCAUUUAUUACUAUCCAACGAGUCGCGAUCGCCUAGCGCUGUUACCUGAUGGCAGACUACGUCACUACAUUCAAAAUUCCGAUGAUGACGACAACGCAGCAUUCGAUAGUGAUGUUGAAAAGUCGGAAGAAACGAUGCUGUACGACUACGCACAAGGCCAAUAUUGUAUGGAUAGGGCGGUCGCAACCAAGGGCAUAACCUAUCCAUCGGAAUUCGCAAUGGUUUGUUCACCAGAAAAAGAGAGCAAUUGGAAGGAUACGGAUUUUUUGCUGAGAAAAGUGGUGAAUCCCGUGUGUCAUGGCAUUUCGAUUACAAUCCUUUUGGUCGUUGGAAUUUGCUAUUUUGUCGUUCCGUCACUGAGAGAUUUGGUUGGGAAUAUUAUCACAACGAUAACAUGUUGCCUUAUCGUCGGCCAAGUAGCCAAUCUUAUGCGCAUUUUUACCGAGUUCCGGAACCAUUUCAAUUUCUUGAUCUUGGACAUUCUAGCCGAAGUGAGUGUAAUGGCAACGUUCUUUUGGCUGAGCAGUUUGGGUUACUUCAUCUGGAAGACUUUUCGUCAACGAAACGUGUUUCUCCGGGUCACCGAUGGCAAAAAGUAUUGUUGGUACUCGUUUUAUGCAUGGGGCUCAACUCUUUGUAUGGCAUCACUGGGUACAUUCGCCCAUCUAUUCCUCGACAUAAACAUACCAAAGAAAAAUUCCCUGGUCGAUGAACAUGAAACAAUAGGUGUGUUGUGUUUGUUGGUGUUUUUUGUCACAAAUUGUAUUGUCAUCGGCUUGAGUAUAUAUUUCUAUGUCUCCACACAAAAUUAUCUAAGCAAUCGUCUAAAUGCUUCCUACGGACGAAUUCACCAUAAGCUCAAGUCCAAUUUUAUUAUGUUUGCGUUGCUGUUAAUUUUGCUAACAGUUUCAUAUGUACUAACGCUUAUUUCGUGGAUUGAAUACGAAGGCAUGUUUUAUAUAAAUCUAGCGAUCAGCGCAAUUCAGGCGCCGCUUGUUCUGUAUAUUUGUGUGCUGCGACAAAAGCAUGUCACCUAUUUACUGCAAAAAGCGUGCUGUUCGAAACAACCACUAUCCGGUGCUGAUUGGGGUGAUGAAAUGACCUACAUCAAUACGGCCCAUUAAAAUGUAAUGCGACAAAGUGAAAUUGAGAUUUAUAAGUUGAUUGGCAUAAUUUAAAAUGAUACCCACAUAUUUAUAACAAAGAAUCUCCUAUCGAUUAAUAUCCAAUUAAGUGUAUACUGAAUAUUGUAGUUUUAAGCAGCUUAUCCAUUUUUAAGACGCAUUUAUAAUAGAAUAUUUGACCCUUUUUGGACAAACAUUGUAAAAUCAUAUCAGGCACAAAUUUAAAAAAAAUUCGAAUUUCUUAUUAUGGACAACCGACUUCCCAAUGGGAAAGCAAAGAACCGUGUCCCAUUUGGGCCAUUUUGUACAGAGUUCUAAUGCAUAUCAUCUUAAAGGGGGUUGGGUAUCUAUAUAUAAUUUAUCUACACACAAUACCCUUUAAGAUGAUAUGCAUUAGAACUCUGUACAAAAUGGCCCAAGCUCCAUACAAAACGGGACACGGUUUUUUCUAAAAAUGACACGAAAUUGACAGGAUUAUCAGCAAGUGUAUUUAAGAAAGUAAAUCAAGACAAUUUUCUAAGCAAUCAAAAGGCCUUUUUAUGCCUAACCAAAUGAGGUGAAGUGUAUAUUUAGGAAGUCCAUUUAUUUAAAGAAGAACACUAAAUUAUUAUUAAUCGCAUUCCAAAUGUAAACUCAAGACUUGUAUCCAAAUGCACACACACAGCUGUCUUCAGUAGAAUCGUAUUUUAAAUUUUUGGAUAAUAUUUUUUCUCUAAUUUUAUUUUCGCAAGCAAUAUUUUUCUAAUUAUUGUAUUCGUAUUUACAAUUAAUAAAAAACGAGGAUUUUUUCUCAAUAAAUGAGUGGAAAUAACAGGAAAACACUG
Sitodiplosis mosellana (orange wheat blossom midge) is the source of this 2678-nucleotide RNA transcript. It is a transcript of the gene named probable G-protein coupled receptor Mth-like 5, with no coding region annotated. The transcript has 9 exons. The record is from RefSeq and is a predicted model, not a curated record. Lineage: Eukaryota; Metazoa; Arthropoda; Insecta; Diptera; Cecidomyiidae.